RNAcentral lists this ribosomal RNA (330 nucleotides) under Triticum aestivum (bread wheat). RNAcentral's name for it is "partial small subunit ribosomal RNA". Lineage: Eukaryota; Viridiplantae; Streptophyta; Magnoliopsida; Poales; Poaceae. The record is from RNAcentral.
AUGUUUAAACAUGUACGACUUGCCAUCUACUUCAAGUCUUUUUUCCUUCACAUUGUACUCCUAUAUAUACCCCAUAUGAGUGCCAGAUCAAUACAACACAAUAAAGAUAUUUGGCAUUCUAUAUUUUCUAUAUUUGAAACAUACACAUGGCAGCUUAAAAGGGAUGCAGGGUGCAGUUGGCUCACUGACAGGUGGGCCAACAUGCUUUUGGGCCCACAUGUCAGUGAGCCAACUGCUUCCUGCAGUACGUUAGACAAGCCACCUCGUCUGAUGUUUGAUGACCAGAGUGAGCUCCUCAAGCUGCAGUGGAAUAGCGAUCCAUGGAGCUAG